Molecule: long non-coding RNA, 1454 nt
Filed under: Equus caballus (horse)
Lineage: Eukaryota; Metazoa; Chordata; Mammalia; Perissodactyla; Equidae
Description: lncRNA (ENSECAG00000054162.1)
Source: RNAcentral
CUCUUUUGUGGUGGAGAUGAGCUGUUCAACAAAUUUACAUUCUUCCCCAUUCUUUUUCAAUCAAAUUGACCCAGAGUUUUCAGCUGCGCUUACUGCCACGUGGCUGGAAGACGGACCAUAUUUCCUGACCCUAUUGCUGCUGGGUGUGACCAGGUGUAUUAGUUUUCUGUGGCUGCUGUAGCAAAUCAGCACAAACGUAGCAGUUUAGAACAAUGCAUACUUAUCUCAGGGUUCUGUAGGCCGGAGGUCUGGGUUAGCCUGGCUGGUUUCUCUGCUCUGGGUUCCACAAAGCCAAAAUCAGGGUGCCAGCUGGGCUCUUAGUGGAAGGCUCUGGGAAGAACUGAGUUCCACUGUCAUUCAGGUUGUUGGCUGUAGCAGAGACCUGUUUCCUUGUGGCUGUCAGCUGCAGGCUGCCCUCUCGCUGCUCCUUGCUGUGGGUCCCUGCACCUUGGGGUCAGCAAAGCUGACUGUGUCGGAGGGAAUUUGGCCAACUUCCCUGGAAGGAUGGGUUGCUCUCUUUUGCCUCCAGCUGCAGAAAGUUCUCCACUUUUAAAGGCUCAUGUGAUUAGUUUGCCCAUCUGAAUAAUCUGGGAUAAUCUCGCUAUUUUAAUGUCUGCAACCUUAAUUACAUUUAUGAAGUCCAGUUUGCCGUGUAAUUUAACACAUUACAAAUUCCAGGGGUCGGGGCGGACAUUUUUGGGGAGCCAUUCUGUCAACUGCAACCAGUGAUUAUGGAAUUCUAGCUAGUGAGUGGAACUGGAGGUGCCACGUAGGACCCCGGGAGGCUCGCUUGAAGAGGAGAGGCCUUUGUUCCCUCUGUCCUCAUCCUGCCGAGACUGCUGGACCAGCCUCCUUGAAACAGGAGGCAAGGACCACGCCCUCGGGAUGGUGGACGGGGAGCUGGAAGGAGUUGGACUCCUUUGGAAGGAAUUGUCAAUACAAAGACAAUAAAGUAAUAUCGUGGGAAAGAAAAUCUUCCUAAAGAAUAUUAUACACAGUCCAAGUUGUCAUGUAUGUGUAAAAGCAACUGGCAGUCCUAAACAGGAAAAACUCGAGGAGCAGAGGAUUUAGAAACCUUCUGGAAAACGGAAAUACUGAUGGAUUCCAGCAACCGGGGCGAGUGAAGGAAGUCGUGGUUACUAGUGCAAAGCUCAGGGAAGCAACGGUAAGGAAAGUUGUGAUGGAGAAUGUUAGCCAGACCGAAGAAUUUUACACCAAGUCAAGCUAUCUUCUGAGGAAAGAGGCAAGAGGCACAUCUCAGGCAGACACAAAGGAUAUAGCACACUUGAGCUCUUGAAAAAAUUUACUUGAUGAUGAAAUCUAGACAGCUAAGAUGUGGAUUAAAACAAAGGACACACUUAAAGAAGGGGUAAUUUAAAACGAAAGACUACGUCACAAUAACAACAAAGCAACAAAACUGGGGAGAUGCUUGAGCUCCUUUAAAUAUAGAACGC